GGUCUCAUACGGAUAGAAUGAUGGAAUCUUGUGGUCUAAAAUAAGUGUAUUCUUUUCUUGUCCAUCAUAAAAGGUAUGUUUUGGUUAGUUGAAAUGGAAAGAUAAAAAAGCCUGGAUUUUGUUUAUCAUGACUGUUUGCUGUUCCUUUUUUGUAGUGUUCAAAGUGAAACAUCUAAGGUAAAAGACCUGCAUCCUGUCUUGUUUGGUUCAUGGGAUUGCUCCACUAAUCUUCUGUAUAGAAAUAGUUAUUCUGUCACAUGAUUAAUGUGUCAAUGAUGAAAAACAAGUUGUGUAUCCUGCAUUUGGUGAGUGGUCAAAUGAGCAUCACUUUAGGAAUAUUCUCUAUGGAGUAACUUUUUAGAUAUUUGUUGUUGGCUAUAUUUAGUUUACUUAGC
RNAcentral lists this long non-coding RNA (395 nucleotides) under Carica papaya (papaya). RNAcentral's name for it is "long non-coding RNA (CPAP_LNC000275)". The record is from RNAcentral. Lineage: Eukaryota; Viridiplantae; Streptophyta; Magnoliopsida; Brassicales; Caricaceae.